RNAcentral lists this unclassified non-coding RNA (345 nucleotides) under soil metagenome. Its description in RNAcentral is "partial contains 5.8S ribosomal RNA, internal transcribed spacer 2, and large subunit ribosomal RNA". The stretch from base 1 to 121 matches the Rfam family "5.8S ribosomal RNA", at positions 35 to 154 of the family's 154-position model. The record is from RNAcentral.
GAUGAAGAACGUAGCGAAAUGCGAUAAGUAAUGCGAAUUGCAGAAUUUCCGUGAGUCAUCGAAUCUUUGAACGCACAUUGCGCCCACUGGUAUUCCGGUGGGCAUGCCUGUUCGAGCGUCAUUAUCCUCCCUCAAACCCCGGGUUUGGUGUUGGACCCAAGUUGUGUGAACAACUGGUCUCAAAGACAAUGACGGCGUCCGUGGGACCCUCGGUGCAACGAGCUUUUAGGAGCACGCAUCGAGUUGCAAGGACCUUCCGGGCCGGUCUCUUUACCCCUUUUACAAGGUUGACCUCGGAUCAGGUAGGAAUACCCGCUGAACUUAAGCAUAUCAAUAAGCGGAGGA